AUGCUGAGCUCCAGGGAAUGUCAGGGAGAUGCCAGCAGAGCAGAGCCAGGGUUAUUUGGGGAACAGGACGGUCAGAAAUCGAGUUGGAGCCGUUUCACAAUGCCAGAGAGGCUCGGGAUUUGUUUACAGAGCCCGAUGACAGCGGCUCAGCACCGAGGGAAAAUGAGGAAUGAUGCAAGACGGCAGGAAUGGACAGUGGGAGACGGCAGCAUGGAAUCCUCACGGAAAAAAACUCUUCUGAGUGCUCAUAAAACAUCCCCGGGGACAAGAGGUGAGCAAACGACCCUGGAGGAGAGGCAGGGGGGAAUGGCUGCAGCGUUUCGUAAUCGGGUCUCGAUUUGUGAUUAACAGCUCAGCUCUCUGGCCUGUAACCGCUUUUCCUCUCCCGAUGUUGCCGGAAGACUCCAGGAAAAUCCCUCCACGGCCUGGGAAGAAGAGCAGGCAACAUUGACACCUGCUGUCGGGAAUUUUAAUAGCCACACACUCCAGCAGAGCCGAGAGCAUGAAAACAGCCAAUAAAAACCCGAGCUGAAACA
RNAcentral lists this long non-coding RNA (536 nucleotides) under Parus major (Great Tit). RNAcentral's name for it is "lncRNA (ENSPMJG00000017521.1)". Lineage: Eukaryota; Metazoa; Chordata; Aves; Passeriformes; Paridae. The record is from RNAcentral.